Molecule: ribosomal RNA, 1292 nt
Filed under: metagenome
Description: bacterial SSU rRNA
Rfam family: Bacterial small subunit ribosomal RNA
Source: RNAcentral
UCUUGCUAAUACCGGAUACGAUCACAUAGCGUAUGUUAUGUGUUGAAAGAUAGCCUCUGCUUGCAAGCUAUCAGUCGAAGAGGGCCUUGCGGCCUAUUAGCUAGUUGGUGAGGUAACGGCCCACCAAGGCAACAAUGGGUAGCCGACCUGAGAGGGUGACCGGCCACACUGGAACUGAGACACGGUCCAGACUCCUACGGGAGGCAGCAGUGGGGAAUCUUGCGCAAUGGGGGCAACCCUGACGCAGCAACGCCGCGUGGGUGAUGAAGGUCUUCGGAUUGUAAAACCCUGUCAAGGGGGAAGAAAUGCAUGGGAUUUAAUAGAUCUUGUGUUUGACGGUACCCCUAGAGGAAGCCCCGGCUAACUCCGUGCCAGCAGCCGCGGUAAUACGGAGGGGGGCAAGCGUUGUUCGGAAUUACUGGGCGUAAAGCGCACGUAGGCGGUCUUGUAAGUCGAGUGUGAAAUCCCUCAGCUUAACUGAGGAACUGCGCUUGAAACUGCUUGACUUGAGUACAGGAGAGGAGAGUGGAAUUCCCAAUGUAGCGGUGGAAUGCGUAGAUAUUGGGAGGAACACCGGUGGCGAAGGCGUCUCUCUGGACUGAUACUGACGCUGAGGUGCGAAAGCUAGGGGAGCAAACGGGAUUAGAUACCCCGGUAGUCCUAGCCGUAAACGAUGGGCACUAGGUGUGGGAGGCCAUUGGUCCCUUCCGUGCCGUAGCAAACGCAUUAAGUGCCCCGCCUGUGGAGUACGUUCGCAAGAAUGAAACUCAAAGGAAUUGACGGGGACCCGCACAAGCGGUGGAGCACGUGGUUCAAUUCGACGCAACGCGAAGAACCUUACCGGGGUUUGAAAUCUGCAUGACAAUGCCAGAAACGGUACUUCCCUUCGGGGACAUGUAGACAGCUGCUGCAUGGCUGUCGUCAGCUCGUGUCGUGAGAUGUUAGGUUAAGUCCUGCAACGAGCGCAACCCCUACCCUUAUUUGCCAACAGGUCAAGCUGGGAACCAUAAGGGAACUGCCGGUUUUAAGCCGGAGGAAGGUGGGGAUGAGGUCAAGUCAUCAUGGCCCUUAUGUCCCGGGCUACACACAUGCUACAAUGGUCUAUACAAAGAGUCGCGAUACCGCGAGGUGGAGCCAAUCUCAAAAAGUAGACCUAAGUUCAGAUUGGAGUCUGCAACUCGACUCCAUGAAGCCGGAAUCGCUAGUAAUCGUGGAUCAGCACGCCACGGUGAAUACGUUCCCGGGUCUUGUACACACCGCCCGUCACACCACGAAAGUUGAUUGUACUAGAA